This 841-nucleotide long non-coding RNA is filed under the name Lactuca sativa (garden lettuce). RNAcentral describes it as "long non-coding RNA (LSAT_LNC009386)". The record is from RNAcentral. Lineage: Eukaryota; Viridiplantae; Streptophyta; Magnoliopsida; Asterales; Asteraceae.
UCGUAAAGAAUGCCACUUCCAUCCUUCUAUGCAGGAUAACUUUGUUAAGACCUGUAGAAACUUUCAAGUGAUAAGUUGUCCAGAAAAUAGCAAUAUACUUUCAUGUACAUUUUUCCUAUAUCAUCUUACUGUUAAAUUGUGUCCGACUACAACGUGCUACUUCGAAACAUUUACCUGUCAUUAUAUUGAAAAAUCUUUAUCGAUCCAUUAAGUUAGUGAAAGUUAUCAAAUUUUGUAUUGUAUUGGAUUACAAAUGUGGAAUGUGGAAAACCUUUUGUUUGUUAAUAUGGAAUGAACUACUCCAUUUCUGCUCAUAAACACAAAACACACAACCAGUCAUAAAUUUCAAACUUGAUCUCUAAAACUUAUUUUAAAAAAUGAACCUAAAAUGGUAUAAGCUAUUAUAACUUUUGGUAAUCGAAAAUCAUCAAAAAGGAGCGACCACUCUUACCUGUUAUAAAGGAAGUUAAAUAUAACAUGAAAUCUAGGAUGUGUCGCAUGAAUCUCCACCAAUUUAGUCUUCCUACUGCACUGCCCAAAUCAUAAUGAUAUUCAAAACUAAUCAAAAACCUCAUCACAGAUAACAAAUGUAUAUAUGAAUAUAGAAUGAAGAGAAUAAGUGAAAUCAAAUAGCCAGAAACACUGCACAAUCUGAAAUUAGCAAUAACAUGUGAUUUCUACCAAACCAACUGUCAUUUCUGGUGACCCAUUUCAACAAAGCUUCUGCCAAAGCUUCAUGGUUGUCUUCUUCAUGCCAAAGCUUCUGUUUAUCUACCAUUUAAUCCUUCCUAGGGGAUACAUACAUAUAUAUAUAUAUAUAUAUAUAUAUAUAUAUAUNNNN